RNAcentral lists this transfer RNA (73 nucleotides) under Ignavibacteria bacterium. Its description in RNAcentral is "tRNA-Trp". It matches the Rfam family "tRNA". From Rfam's summary of the family: Transfer RNA (tRNA) molecules are approximately 80 nucleotides in length. Their secondary structure includes four short double-helical elements and three loops (D, anti-codon, and T loops). Further hydrogen bonds mediate the characteristic L-shaped molecular structure. tRNAs have two regions of fundamental functional importance: the anti-codon, which is responsible for specific mRNA codon recognition, and the 3' end, to which the tRNAs corresponding amino acid is attached (by aminoacyl-tRNA synthetases). tRNAs cope with the degeneracy of the genetic code in two manners: having more than one tRNA (with a specific anti-codon) for a particular amino acid; and 'wobble' base-pairing, i.e. permitting non-standard base-pairing at the 3rd anti-codon position. Lineage: Bacteria; Pseudomonadati; Ignavibacteriota; Ignavibacteria. The record is from RNAcentral.
ACGUGAGUAGCUCAACUGGCAGAGCAGCGGUCUCCAAAACCGCAGGUUGGGGGUUCGACUCCCUCCUCACGUG